CCUUAAAGAACCUGCCUUUGUAGUGCUCACACAGAUUGUCUGAUGAAAAGUAAAUAGCAAGGCGUCUUACGAUUGAGACUUCAGUGUCCCCUUCGUCUAGAGGCCCAGGACACCGCCCUUUCACGGCGGUAACAGGGGUUCGAAUCCCCUAGGGGACGCCACUUGCUGGUUCGUGAGUGAAAGUCACCUGCCUUAAUAUCUCAAAACUCAUCUUCGGGUGACGUUUGAGAUAUUUGCUCUUUAAAAAUCUGGAUCAAGCUGAAAAUUGAAACGACACACUGUUCAAGUGUGUUCGAGUCUCUCAAAUUUUCGCGACACGACGAUGUUUUACGAAACAUCUUCGGGUUGUGA
Molecule: unclassified non-coding RNA, 351 nt
Filed under: Klebsiella oxytoca
Lineage: Bacteria; Pseudomonadati; Pseudomonadota; Gammaproteobacteria; Enterobacterales; Enterobacteriaceae
Description: partial 16S-23S ribosomal RNA intergenic spacer
Rfam family: Salmonella enterica Typhi npcRNA 44 (bases 239-344)
Source: RNAcentral